This 478-nucleotide ribosomal RNA is filed under the name uncultured bacterium. RNAcentral's name for it is "partial 16S ribosomal RNA". It matches the Rfam family "Bacterial small subunit ribosomal RNA", at positions 28 to 523 of the family's 1533-position model. The record is from RNAcentral.
GACGAACGCUGGCGGCGUGCUUAACACAUGCAAGUCGAACGGUAAGGUCCUUCGGGGUACACGAGUGGCGAACGGGUAAGUAACACGUGGGUGAUCUGCCCUGCACUUCGGGAUAAGCCUGGGAAACUGGGUCUAAUACCGGAUAGGACCACUGCCUGCAUGGGUGGUGGUGGAAAGCUUUUGCGGUGUGGGAUGGGCCCGCGGCCUAUCAGCUUGUUGGUGGGGUGAUGGCCUACCAAGGCGACGACGGGUAGCCGGCCUGAGAGGGUGACCGGCCACACUGGGACUGAGAUACGGCCCAGACUCCUACGGGAGGCAGCAGUGGGGAAUAUUGCACAAUGGGCGCAAGCCUGAUGCAGCGACGCCGCGUGAGGGAUGACGGCCUUCGGGUUGUAAACCUCUUUCAGCACCGACGAAGCGCAAGUGACGGUAGGUGCAGAAGAAGGACCGGCCAACUACGUGCCAGCAGCCGCCGUAA